Molecule: ribosomal RNA, 491 nt
Filed under: uncultured bacterium
Lineage: Bacteria
Description: partial 16S ribosomal RNA
Rfam family: Bacterial small subunit ribosomal RNA
Source: RNAcentral
AGUGAACGCUGGCGGUAGGCCUAACACAUGCAAGUCGAACGGCAGCACAGUAAGAGCUUGCUCUUACGGGUGGCGAGUGGCGGACGGGUGAGGAAUACAUCGGAAUCUACUUUUUCGUGGGGGAUAACGUAGGGAAACUUACGCUAAUACCGCAUACGACCUACGGGUGAAAGCAGGGGAUCUUCGGACCUUGCGCGAUUGAAUGAGCCGAUGUCGGAUUAGCUAGUUGGCGGGGUAAAGGCCCACCAAGGCGACGAUCCGUAGCUGGUCUGAGAGGAUGAUCAGCCACACUGGAAUGGAGACACGGUCCAGACCCCUACGGGAGGCAGCAGGGGGGAAUUUUGGACAAUGGGCGCAAGCCUGAUCCAGCCAACCCGGGGGGGUGAAGAAGGCCUUCGGGUUUUAAAGCCCUUUUUUUGGGAAAAAAAAGCAGCAGGUUAAUACCCCGCUGUUCGGACGGUACCCAAAGAAUAAGCACCGGCUAACUUCGU